This 6797-nucleotide long non-coding RNA is filed under the name Lynx pardinus (Iberian lynx). The record is from RNAcentral. Lineage: Eukaryota; Metazoa; Chordata; Mammalia; Carnivora; Felidae.
UGGAAGAGGGACAGACAGACGUGAUGCCGGCCAAGGGAGCAAGCAUCCACCCCAAGGGAGGGGACAUUUGAGCUGGGGUUUGAAAGAUGAACAGGAAUUCACUCGAUUCAGAAGUGGGGAAUGCAUUUGAGCAGAAGAAAGCUGGGAUCUUGGUAAAUGGGAGAAGGCCAGGGUGGCUGGAAGAGGGGCUGGGGGUGGAUGUGGGUGGUAUUAAGGGCCUGUGGGCGGUGCCCAGAGGUUCCUGGAGGCAGGGAUGGGCACAGACUCGAGGACCUGGGGGCAGAUCGAAAGAGACCAUUACUCGUGGAUACGGUAGGGACCUGCUUCAUCCUGAGGUGGUGCCCGUGGGCCUGCCAGGUGGGGUUUCACUGGUAGCAGGUGAGGUGGUGAGGCGAGGCCCCUCCCUCCCGGGAAAAACCUCGGGUGUGUGAAUGUACGUGUGUGAAGGUACGUGUCUCUCUAGGCGUGUCCCUGUGUGAUGAGUAUCUGUGUAUGUGUGUCGCGGUUAUGUCCAGGUGUGUGUGUGUGUGUGUGUGCGCAUCUCUCCAGAAAUGUGCAUCCCCGUGUAGGGGGUGUCUAUGUGUCUUUCUCACUAGGUGCACACGCGUCUCCUGUGCGUACGAAUACGAGCGUUAUGCGCGCGUCUCUCCGAAUGCGCGUGCUUGUGUGUGAACGUGUCCGUGCGUCUGUCUGGCCGCGUGUAGGAGCGCUUCCUCCGGUCCUGUGCAGCCGCUCCACCCCUCUUCUCCCAAGCCUGCCCAGAUCCCGGUUCCGGUUCCGAGGCUUUGUGAACCCUGGCUUCUCUUGCAGCUGCCCAGCCCCGCCCUCAACUGACUGGCUCCCACCCACCCCCCACCCCCGAGCCCCGGGUGGUGANUGCCCAAGCAGACCGUGGCGGGUGGGGAUGUGAGUCAUUGGUGGCCUGGGGGGAGGGGCAGCCCAGCUGCCCAGGACGAGGGGGCACAAUGCCCGCCCGCGUGUGAAUGCGCGUCAGUGUGAAUUUGAACGCGUGUGCUGGGGGUGGGACUGGGCUCUGCAAAACUGUCUGGGCCGCCCAAGCCUCCCCGGGCUAGGCACACCCCGUCAUCCCCUGAAUGUGCCCAGGGCAAGACGGCGCUUCUCCCUGCCAGGGUGUCCUCCGGGUGGCCGGUGCUGGCGAUCCAUUCCCUGGCUAUUCAACCGAUAGGCGUCCGUGCCUCCCCUCCGCUCCCCGGUACUCCCCUGUGUCCGGUUUGGUGCGAUCGAUGGAAGAGGGACAGACAGACGUGAUGCCGGCCAAGGGAGCAAGCAUCCACCCCAAGGGAGGGGACAUUUGAGCUGGGGUUUGAAAGAUGAACAGGAAUUCACUCGAUUCAGAAGUGGGGAAUGCAUUUGAGCAGAAGAAAGCUGGGAUCUUGGUAAAUGGGAGAAGGCCAGGGUGGCUGGAAGAGGGGCUGGGGGUGGAUGUGGGUGGUAUUAAGGGCCUGUGGGCGGUGCCCAGAGGUUCCUGGAGGCAGGGAUGGGCACAGACUCGAGGACCUGGGGGCAGAUCGAAAGAGACCAUUACUCGUGGAUACGGUAGGGACCUGCCUCAUCCUGAGGUGGUGCCCGUGGGCCUGCCAGGUGGGGUUUCACUGGUAGCAGGUGAGGUGGUGAGGCGAGGCCCCUCCCUCCCGGGAAAAACCUCGGGUGUGUGAAUGUACGUGUGUGAAGGUACGUGUCUCUCUAGGCGUGUCCCUGUGUGAUGAGUAUCUGUGUAUGUGUGUCGCGGUUAUGUCCAGGUGUGUGUGUGUGUGUGUGUGCGCAUCUCUCCAGAAAUGUGCAUCCCCGUGUAGGGGGUGUCUAUGUGUCUUUCUCACUAGGUGCACACGCGUCUCCUGUGCGUACGAAUACGAGCGUUAUGCGCGCGUCUCUCCGAAUGCGCGUGCUUGUGUGUGAACGUGUCCGUGCGUCUGUCUGGCCGCGUGUAGGAGCGCUUCCUCCGGUCCUGUGCAGCCGCUCCACCCCUCUUCUCCCAAGCCUGCCCAGAUCCCGGUUCCGGUUCCGAGGCUUUGUGAACCCUGGCUUCUCUUGCAGCUGCCCAGCCCCGCCCUCAACUGACUGGCUCCCACCCACCCCCCACCCCCGAGCCCCGGGUGGCCUUGGCCGACCCCCAGACCAGCCAGUGGGGGCGCAGAGAAAAGGGAAAAGGGCCAGAGAGCAGCCAGCCCUCCAAGGAGCUGCGCCCACCCUCCACCGGCCAGCCUGGGAGCUCCUCCCUCCCAGGAGAGAAGGAUUUGUCGGGAAACCACGUGGGAGCAUUGCCCACACAGCCACCCACCCCUCUCUUCUUCCUCCUGGGGCCCCCAGUCUUACAGGUGUGUUUGGGAGGGCGAUUUGAGAGUCCAAGGGGAUUCGGCACGAGUGAGAAGACUGGCCGGCACCCCUGCCCCUGCUUUCUUGAUAACAGCGGCUUCCUUUGAGGGACCUGCCCCUCCAGGUUGUUCCUGUGGGGCUGCUGGUCCCAAGGCCCUGCCCCAACCACCACAGGGGACACAUGAGCCAGGUCUAGCCGGUGACAGCAUCCAGGCCCCCAGACACGACCGCUGACCCGGGUUUGGGCGUGUGACUGAGGCCAAACCAACGAGAGUCCUUCCCUGGAAUUUUAUACAUGGAGGUUGGGAGGGGAAAAAAACAAAAAACAAAAAACAAAAAAAACACCUCUUUCCUCUGGGAUCAUCAAGAUAGAGCGAUAAAGGCCCGAGGCCAUCUGCACACCUACCUCUCUCCUACUCCUCAUGGAAGGAGCCUGCGGAUGUAGAAGAGCCAGGAGAUGGGCAGACUAUCCAGGGGUGUGGGUUGUGAGGAGACAACGAGAGAGAGAGCAAGAGAGAGUGGUUUCCCCCCAUAGGAGUAAAUACAUUCCUUUUGCUUGAGCUAGUUUGAGUUGGGCUUCUGUCUCUCACACCCGGAGGAGCCCUAAAUGGCACUGAACACUCCUUGCUGUCUCUCCCUGGCUCCCUCAGACCCCACACGGAGGCCGCGGCCACCCUUUCCCACUCUCCUCCAGUUCUUCCUUAACUGCCACCUGCUGGGCUGGGAAAAGUGAAUUCCUCAGCUCUCCCCACCUCUACCCCCACUUUCCUCAACAGCUGCCUCCCCAUCCUGGCCUCCUUCUAUCCAGGGUCACAGGAGACAGUGUCCCUCCUCUGCCCCUGCUCACGCCUGACCAAGAGAGCUGGAACUGGAGGGCUCAAUGCCAGUGGAUCCCAAACCUGCCUGUACCUCAGAAUCAUCUGGGAAACUGAAAAAAAAAUACAAUUUCCCAGGUUCCACCAGAUUCUCUGCAGGCAGGCCCUGAAAUUAUAAUUUAAAAACAUCUUCACUGGUCAUGGCCAUGUUACCUUCUUGGUUGUUCAUUCAGUCUUGGCUUGAGCAGCAUUUGGCCAUCGAAGGACAUCUCGGGGUCCCCAGGAACAGGAUGUUGUUCAUUGUGUUGCUCAGAUGGAGCCCCUUUUAACUCCCCCGCCCAUCUUCUCUGAAGGCCUUGUGAUCUGAGCUUCUCUCUGGCCCGAUCUUCCUUUGGGUGCGGGGACUUCCCAGACUCCAGACCGGAUCCCCCAUGCUUUGAAAACCUUGUCCUCCCUGCCCCCCUGAACUCUUCCUCCCUUCCUCCACCUCCCCACCUCUCUGCCAGCUUCUUCUCAGUCUUUCUCUUCCUCCUCUGUGCUAUGUCCUCCUGAGUGGGCAGUUCUUCCCAGGAUGCCCUGCAGGGUGGUCAUCCUCUACAGUAGAUGUGGGUGGCCACCAGGGACAGAGGCAGGUCAAGGUGGUAGGCCUCACCCCACACCUCCUCACAGGACGGUAAGUUACAAUGAAAUCAGUGCCACCCCAGCCCUGCCUGGGAGCCUGGGGGAGCCCCACUCUCCAUCCUGUGCAGGAAAGCUUCUCUCUGGGUAGAUUCAAGGACGUGAUGGCCGAAGGUUGGCUAACACUCCAGUGAGAUCAUUGUGUGGGGCACCCAGGACCAAUUAGAGAAAGUUCUGGACCCAGGGCACUGCUCUGCUGGGUUGCUGGACUCGUUCAGUCAUGGGGAGAGGGGUCUGUGCUGCAUUUGUUGCCGAGCACACAUCUUCAGGGACACUCUUUUCACUACAGAGGGAUGACUUCUAAUUCUGAUACACCACUGCUAAUCAGCAGGCCCUCUGCAAGUGUAGACGGCCACACUCGAAGCACUGGCCAUGGCUGCCAGUGUAGGGUAGCUCCUCAGAGUCUUUGACCACGAAAAUGGAUUCCAUCACACACUCACACACAUCCCACUGCCGCACUGAUGUGAUUAAAGCCAGGGCAACGCAGCCUCUGUUCACGGCAGUCUAUGUAAGGAGCCCAGGGCUCCCUACACCCGGCAUUCGGGUUCUCUGGGGCCCAAGUCAGCCCCACUUUGUCCAGUCAAAGGCUGACCCAGGACAACCUCUGGCCUUUCAGAUGUCUCCCCACACCAGAAUGUCUGCAGGUCCUUAGCCUCCCCUCCACCCCCCACCCCUUCCCCCGUCAACGGCCACAAUGCUCUUGCGUCAAACCAGCAGGAUCUGGAUUCCAACCAAUUCUAGAGUGUUGGUGGAGCAGAUACAACAGCAAGUGGGAAUAGGGAUGGAGAAAGGGAAAUGGCAGAGGAAAAAGGAGCAGGGAUGGGGAGGAAAGGAGAGGGAAGGUACACAGGAGGUGUGGGGAAGGAAGAGGGACUGAGGGAAGGGGAGUUUCUCCCACAUCAGGGGCUCUCUGAGCUCCCUCUUCCAGGGCAGCGCCUCAGCCUGAAGGAGGGGACGGUGACAGGGACAUCUAACCCACCGCCGCUGCAUGGGACUCCCUCUGCCUACCCACUACCUUUCCCAUUCCCCCACCAUCCCUCCAGGCUACAGACAGACCACCUCCCCAUGCCCAGCCCCACCCCACCUCCUGGGACCUGGGUUCUGCAGCUUCCAUAGCCUUUGGCCAGGGCUGUGGGCCCCGAGAAGAUUCCAUCUGCAGACUGACCUCCCCCUCCUCAGGGCCUUACUCAACCACCUCAACUGUGGUUUGAGAUAAUCAGCAGGAAUCCGCUGGGGUUCUGCCCACAGGGGCUGGGACAGGUGGAAUGAGCCAGACCGGGUGAGCCUCCGAGCGCUUCCUGAUAGGGACAGGCCCAAGCAGCCUGCAGGGUGAGAACUGACCAGGGGCUGGCCUGGCUCCCACAUCCCCAUCCCCCCACCCCACCCCGGGCAGUCAGGGACUAUUUAACUUUCAUCCGUGUCCCCCCAUCCUAGUUCCACGUAGGUACGCACAGAUCAAACGAAUCCACGAUGACAAACUGUUCCUCUCAAUGAACCAAAUUCCACUGGCAAACACUCAGUUGGCCUUUAGCGUCUCCAGCCAUCACCACCCCCUUGAGCCCCGGUGGGUUCUGGGGCCUUUGGGUCAGGCCAAAUAUUAACAAUACUAUCAACGGCAGCCAACCUGUCAUAAUGCCACCGUGUAGGAGACACUAAUCUACGCACUUCGCAUGCGUCAUCUCGCGUAACCCUGUGCUGGCAGGAAAUUGAGGUCUCAAGGGGAUAAGCCACCUGCCCCUACUGACAGCCCAGAAGUGUAGAGCUCUGACCCCACCCCCACCCCUCCAGUCUCAGAACCUGGGCUCCAAGCCCCUUCCCAGGGGCGGCUGUGUCUGCCCCUCCCAGGCACCUGAGGAAACCCCGUAGCUUCUGGGUGAGAGGUCAGUGCUGACCCUGGAUGGAAUGUCCUUGGCCAGGCUUCCCUGGCCCUCCCUCCAGGCCACACUUGCAAGGUGAAGGGGCAGAACCCAGAAGCCUGGGCAGUGGAGUGCAGCGCCGGGUGAUCUGUGGGACAGGUGGCCAGUAGGGCAGGGGCAGGCAGCCAAGCCAAGGAGGGGCUCCGGGCUGCAGGUCAGACCCUCCUCUGCUCCUUCCCUACUUGGGAGGGGCCAUUAGAAACAGCACUGGCCCCAGGGUUCUUGACUGGAAUUCUGCCUGGAAGGCCCUUCACAUUCCCUGAUUGGAACUUGCAACAUGCCGGCAAAUUCUAUCAAAUCUUGGGUUUUUCCUCCUCCUCCAAGGGCCUCUGGAGCCUUAAAGAAAGAGCUGGGGGCUCCUGCCUGGUUCUGUCAAUAGAGCAUGUGAUUCUGGAUCUCAGGGUUGUGAGUUUGAGCCCCAUGUUGAGUGUAGCGAUUACUUAAAAAUAAAAUCUUAAAAAAUAAAUAAAGAGGCUCCUCACCCCAGGCUCAGGGUCCUAGGUUUAGGGCCCAGCUUGGCAGGCACGGCCUUAUCAGAGUUCCUACCUCCAGCCUCUAUACUCAGGGACUUCCCGGCCUCCCUAGGGAACCCCUUGGCAGGAAAAUAACUCCCUGCCACUGCUGUCCCCUGGAGAAGGGCUCAGGGGCCUGCUUCUCGAGCCUGCCAAGCCUUCUGGCUUUGUUUACUAUGAGACCUGACCCACUGGGUUUUCCCCCCUCUGGGCACCUCUAUUUCCUCCUUUGUAACUGGGAAUAAAAUAGUACAUGCCUCUAGGAUUAAGUGAUUCAUGUGUGAGCCUAGAAUCAUGCUUGACAUAUUGUAACUGCUUGAUGAAUGUUAGCUACUAUUUAUUGCACUGUUCAAUGCUUCCAUUUCAAUUCUAUGGGCAUUUUCUGAGGUCCUGCUGUCAGCUCAGCCAUGGGACCUCAUCAUGGAGCAAGACUAGAACAGAUCGGUGUGCAACGGCCAAACCAGCAGAGGUUUUUACCUGCUAGACGAUUCUGGAAGUCACCCGGAUGGAAACACCCAUCUCCCCAGACCCUGCUGAGCCAA